Molecule: RNase P RNA, 533 nt
Filed under: Chloroflexi bacterium RBG_19FT_COMBO_55_16
Lineage: Bacteria; Bacillati; Chloroflexota
Description: RNase P RNA component class A
Rfam family: Bacterial RNase P class A
About the family: Ribonuclease P (RNase P) is a ubiquitous endoribonuclease, found in archaea, bacteria and eukarya as well as chloroplasts and mitochondria.
Source: RNAcentral
CAGGCUGGCCAGGUGGUCGCGGCUCUGUAAGCCAGAGUCGAGGAAAGUCCGCACUCCACAGAGCACGGUGCCGGGUAACACCCGGGGCGGGGGCCUGAGCCUCUCAGGUUACUUGCCGGAUCGGGCCACAGAAACAAUCAGCCGAGCGUGGGAAUUCGAGAUUAGAGAUUCGUCCUUUGACGUUUCUCGAUUCUCUCCUUUCUAUUCUCGGUCAUGGUGAAAAGGUGUGGGCAAUCGCAUAGCGAUUGCUUGUCGCAUAGCGAUUGCUUGAGCGAAACUAUUGGUUUCGCUGUGUAAGAGACCACCGGCGUCCACAGCAAUGUGGGCGGCCAGGCAACCCCCACCGGGAGCAAGGCCAAGCAGGGGCGCAGCCCGCUUCAAGCGGGCCGGAGGCUGCUCGUCUCCCCGCUUCGCAAGAAGCCAAAGCCCCGGGUAGGCUGCUAGAGCUACGUGGAGACACGUAGCCCAGAGAGAUGACCACCCAGGUGGAGCAUUCCACUGGACAGAAUGCGGCUUAUAGGCCGGCCUGAGGA